UUGAAUGUACUGCAAAGCAAACUUAUUUUAUUCAUGCGCCACAGAAGUUACUGUCCACUAUCGGGUAAAACCUUACAUUCGCCUUCAUCAUGGCUGGUGUUGCAACAGCGAAUAUGACCGCGCUGGUAUCCCCUACUCGAGUGAUAUUCUGUUUUAAAAUGAUAACUCGCUGGUUUUAGGUUUUGACAAGCGGAGGCAGCCUGGCGCUCGUUAAUGGGCUUAUUGUGACUCGCCGUUCACCUCAUUUGAACUUUUCUAAUCUUCCACAGAUACGGCAGAUAGCCUAGUCUGGCGGGUGAAGCCGUCGGUGCCGCGGCGAUAGACUAAAAGCUAUUCUUAGCAGGAGGAGGGCAAAAAAAAAACUUGACCUCCAGACAGAAAGACUUUCGUUGUUCGUUGAUGUUCGGUUCACCGUCAGCCAGCGAGAGCUUGGAGGGGAGCGGGGGGGAGGCUACAGAUACUGUAGUCGCUCUCUCUCUCUCUCUUUCUCCUUGUGACCGCGCUGUUUUCAGCUAACAAAAGUAACCGAGGGACAUGAACGGGCUGCAAAAGAAUGACAAGACUGCACUGUCCGAAGACCCGGGCGGACACCGGUUCAGGGUUUAAUGAUCACUCAUCUUGAACUUGGAAUUAAUCAGCGCAGGAUUCAGAUGCGUGUUUUUUUUUAUUGCUGUUGUUGUUUUGCUUGUUCUUCUGUACUGUACAAAUCAAGAUCAUUGCUUCCGCCCAACAUUGGAAUUACUUUUAAACAGAGGUUAUUGGAGACAAAAAGUCAUGACUACUUUGAGACUGCUUUGCCCUUUUGUGAUCUGUGUGGAUAUGAUACCAGACCGUACUCCACUCUGUGUACAGACGCCCAAGUCUGUGGAGGACAUUGGGGAGUAGAUGUCUGCUCCUGGCCAUCCAGGUGAGAGGUGGAUUUACAAUUUUUCCUAAAGGAAUUUCUCGUGCUGCACUGGACGUUGAUGAAGGGGCUUCACCAGCUAUGAAUGGCUCCAGGAUUAUGAUGUUGAGGUGGAAGAUGAACCUGUUGAGUGGUGUUGCUCUUCAGCCAGGCCCUUUUGUCCCAUAUUCCCAAGAGAGGCCACCAUUAGCCCAGCCUGAGUUUUGAGGAUGAAGGCUUGGACUGUAGCUUUCCAAGGAUUGCCAUGACAACAGCCAGGAGCUUUUGCAGUAAUAAGGUCACCAUCUACAUGACUUGACUGAACGCGCUCAGGUUUGUUUUUGUCCGAGUCAAGUCGUUUGCUCCAGGAAUGUCGCUUCAAAACGUUCCUGUCCUGGAUUUUUCGAUCCCGCUAGACCGCGGCUCAGUUCAAAACGUCUGCUCCCGAGGAAAUAUUGCCAAGCUGUGGCAUGUUUUUGUUUCUUAAUCGCUCUAAAUACCAUUUUACCGUUGUUGAGCCACCAGAAGCUUUUUUAUCAGUCAGUUGUACCUGCCUCACAGGUACAACAAAUAGUCAGAACCGCUGUUAGUUAAAGUUGCAUUGCAGUAAAUCCCCCCCCCCAAAAAAAUAGGUGCAUCAUUAUAUGGGGAUAAACUUUACAAGCUCCUGUCAGGAGGAAAGAAUGCUUCUGUCAGCAUGCUGGGAGAUAACUUAAUUUCUCUGAGACAUCCACCUAUGGGAGCUUUAAGCAAUGAUCCCAUUAAUAAUGUAAAAAGAGAAUCAAGCACUCCAUUGAGUACUAACAAUAGAUCUGCCUUCUGCCUUACACCCAGCCUCCUGCUAGAACUAGAUCUGCUAAAUGUUUCAGCAGAUGCGGACUCAAACAGUAAGUCUGGGUGUUCUCGACUUGUCGGGUGCGAUAGGGUUACGCCUAGCAGUGAGAGUGGAAGAGUAGGGGUUACAACAGUGCUCGUCUUUGCCUGGACCCGUGCAAGAGGCCAAGCUGCCUGUCCUUGUGGAAGUUAGUCGGCGUUAAAAUAUUUAAAAAAAAAACAUUUUUGGAGCGCUCAGACGGAGCCGUGCUUGGAAUGGAAUGGUUCGUUUUUAUGCUUUAUUUACUACACGAGUUCAUUAAGAACGGAUUCUCAUUUAGGAAUGUUAACCUGGGUAGCACCUGUACAGCGACAGAUUUACUGGAUACAUCUCAGUGAAGUUCCUUGCUCAGACAUACUGUACACCGGCGGUGGUCUAACUGGGAUUCAAUCCCAGAAUCCUGUGGUCCGAAUCCCAGAAUCCCAGAUUCAGGACCACUACUCAUCACAUUUUGCAGUGAGCGAUGAAUGAGCGUGAUUUUUUUUUUUUCAUUUAAAAGUUAAAAAGCCUGCUUGUUAAUUAAAGCAUUGUCUUUUCUCCUUUACCAUGCUCGAUAUCUGCAAAGACAUUUGCAGUAAUUGCACAGAAACAUGUAUACAGAAGCUAAUGUGCUAACCCUAUACAAAAGGGCUAAUGGAAAUUAAAAUGGGAUUUUUUUUCACGACCAAAAUGUUCUUUUGUGUCAGCAGCACAAAAUAAAAAUGUCUUGAGUUUUUGCAAGUGGCUUAGUUAAAAACCUGAAUCAUUUUCCAGUGUUAAUGCAUCCCUGUAAUCAUUAGUGGACGAGAAGCACAUAUUCGAAGGUGCUCAUCGCUUUACUGCAUUUCAAAUCUUCGGUAAAAAGCAUGAAAAAAAGACCAUCUGAUUUCCCAGGCUCUUAGAAGCAAACAUAAAAAAGAACAUACUGUAAGAAACGUUUCAAAAACAAAGUUUCACUCAGCCCAUCUAGAUCAUUUCGUUGUACGUAGCCUAUUAAUCCUGGGAUCUCAUCCAGGUAUUUCUUAAAGGCAGCGGGGUUAUCAGCUCUUAACAAGAUGGCAUGGUUACUUGUCCGAAGCUCCUAUAACUCAAAGUGUAAAACGAAAAAAGUGCAGACUGUUCUCGGUUUUAAGCUUGUUCUCCCUAAGUUUUCCUCUCAUGUCCUCUGCUUCGUGUUUUGCUGCUGAAACUUGUUGAGGCAUUCAUCUUCAGUUGAGAAACUGCAUGCAGUGACGUAUGUAGCCUGGACUUGGUGUAAGACAGCAGACAAUGCUCACAGAGCAGAAUAGUUCCACCUGCUUGCUUUGGCUCUCCACGGGUUCAGGGAUUUAAAUGAAUAUUGGACUUCUGGAUUUUUGCAACUGUUUUCAAUUUUUUCCAAUAAGCAGACUUUAGGAAGGCAAGGAAGUGCAAUGGUCAGCAUUGUUUCUUCGCAGCACUGGGGCCCUGGGUUCAAUUCCCGGAGUCCUGUCUGUGAGGAGUUUGCAUGUUCUGCUCGUGUUCUUGUGGGUUUCCUCUUGGUGCUCUGGUUUCCUCCUGCAGUCCAAAGACAUACUAGUAGGCUAAGUGUAUUCUGGGCAAAUUGGUCCUGGUGUGAGUGUGUGUGCGUCUACCCUGUGAUGGACUGGCGUCCUGUCCAGAGUGUACCCUGCCUUGCACCCAUUGCUUGCUGGGACAGACUCCGGCUCCCACAAGACCCUCUUUUGGAUAAAUCGGUUAGAUCAUGGAUGGAUUCUUGUAAUUAACUAUAAAUGUCUUAAGCUUCAAAGAACAAACAAAAUUCUUAAUUAUUAAAAUGCUAUUUCAUUAAAAUGCAACUAUUAUUGUCCUAAUCGACUUUUUUUUUGAAAAAUGAAGUGUUGAUGACCGCUGAAAAGCAACAUUAACAGUGUGAUUCGCUAGACAAUUACAGAUAUGACAGAUAAUUCCAUUAAUAAAUUGAAAAGUUCCCAAAUUAAGGACAUAUCAUUGCAUUAAGAAAUUAGGAAAACACACAGAGUGUAACCUGUAUAAAUUGACUCCCAGGAUCAGUUUGGUCACAGUUUAACUGGUUUAGGUCCAAGGUCUGAAAAUUAACAUUUUAAGGUUCAGUCAAGGAUUUUAGUAGAAAACUCAAAAGACAUUGUAGUCCCAAGAACCAGAGUUAGGAAGCCCUGGCCUUAAAAAAUAAUGACGAGAUUGAUGUCCUCAACAUGGGUUUUAGCUCGUUUUGUGUGUCACAUUUGGUUACUCUUUUUUGCUUGGGUCUUUAGACUUGUCGUUUGUAAGUGCAGAGAGUCCCGAAGCUCCUGUGUUGUGGACAGCUUAUCCAGGAUGUGCUGAGGAGCAGGCAAGUUAUCUGGAAACCAGUGCUCUCCUGCUUCCAGAUACCUCCGAGCUUGCAGAUGACGGCCGACUUUGGCGAAGCGCUGGAAUAAUAAAAGACUUUCUCGCUUUCGCGGCCUGCAAGUACUUAGUUCUUUUCGUGUAAGUGCGCAGAUGAGACUCAUUAAGAGCAGAAGUGAAACACCACACAUGUGGCCGAAGAGCUCAAGGUGCGUGGGUAUUGUCUUGUGUAAUGCAGCUCUGGGGGGCCGCUUGUGUCCUCUUCGGUGAGUUUGUUGCCGGCGCGUUUUGCCUGUCAGUCAUUUUCCACAGGGGGGCCCCACACUUGGAUCAACGUCCCCUCCAUCACAAGCAACCGGGUGGCCCCUUUCGUGGAGAGAGAGGGAGAAAAAAAAAGCUUUCAAAGGGAGAAGCCCCCACCCACACACCUCAUCCCUUUUUUUAAAAUUCAGAAAGAAACAGCUGAUGUACAAAUGGAAAACAGAUCCCGCGAAUGUAGCCUUUCGUGUCAGAGAAGCUGCUGCUGUUUUCCCACAGGACCUUCAGCUGAAGGAAAACAAAAAAAAAAACUUGGGUCAGCAUCUCCUUUUACAAAGCAUUGGAAGAGUAUGCUUCCUUGAAGUCUAAAAAUAUAAAAGCAGAAUGUUAUCUUAUGGUACAUUUAUACAGUAGAAUAGGUUAGAACUAGAUAAAAAUUAGUUUGAAAUCAGUUAGAAAAUGGAUGGAUGGAUGGAUAACAACAGAUUCACAAUUAAGGAAUCGCUCUCAAAGCUGUCUGGAAGGAAUUACACUACAGUAUAUGCUGUGGUUCAGUUAGAUCCUCUAACAAAAUAAUGAACGCAAAAUAUAUAAUUAACUUCUCAAAGU
This is a long non-coding RNA of Lepisosteus oculatus (spotted gar), 4928 nucleotides long. RefSeq lists it as uncharacterized. NCBI's taxonomy places the organism in Eukaryota, Metazoa, Chordata, Actinopteri, Semionotiformes, Lepisosteidae. The record is from RefSeq and is a predicted model, not a curated record.